Molecule: long non-coding RNA, 935 nt
Filed under: Dasypus novemcinctus (nine-banded armadillo)
Lineage: Eukaryota; Metazoa; Chordata; Mammalia; Cingulata; Dasypodidae
Description: lncRNA (ENSDNOG00000051833.1)
Source: RNAcentral
AGCAGGAGGGGCAGUGGGAGGUGUGCCAGUAAGCUUUAAAUCGAAGGGAAUUUCCCAGGCUGGAGAGGCUACCGUCAGGUGAACCCAGAGCUAUCCUGACCAAUACGAAGCUGAGCUUGGGCUUCAGAGCACAGAAAAUCAAGGCGCUACGCUGAGCCAAGCACCUACUUCUGCAACCAAGGGAAAAAGAGGUCCACUAGAGGAUCUCCUGAAAUAGAUGCAGAUUUGUUCUCAAUUGCUGAAGUGUGUCUGACAGCUCAAGAGCUCCUCAGUGCAACUCGCCCGAAGCUAAUCCCCCAAGAGAAGAAUCCACAUGAGAAACAGCUCUUCCUCAUCUUUCCAAUGACUAUGAUUUGAAAGGAAAUAUGCUGGGGAUUCAAGGACCUAGGAAGAUGUUAUUAACUAAGGUGUGCCCAAACUGAAAAGGGGCCCAAGGCCUUAGAAGCAAAGGAAAUUGGACAGGGAAGAAAGAAAAAGAAGAAGAUGCCACCCUGUGCAUUGCCAUGUGACAGAAGAGUCAAAUACCAAGGGGCCAGCCCCACACCACAGUCUUCAGAGAGAAAGCAUCAUCUUACUGACACCACAGUUUUGGACUUCUCCUAGCCUGAAAACUGUAAGCUGAUAAAUUCCCCUUAUUUAAGCCAAUCCACUGUAUGGUAUUUGUUUUAAGAUGCAGGAAACGAAAACAGUGUGUGUGUGUGACAGAAAGAGAAGUCUAUCUUAACUAACUCUUGACAAUAUUUCUAGGCAAAAAUAAACCAAGUACAGCUUUUCCUUCAACCAGAAUUCUUGUCUGAAAAUACAGACUUUCUCCCUUUGCUAACAUCCUUGGACAUUUCCUUCUUUGAGGCAUUCCAUGGAGAAAUCUACAUUAACCUAAAUAUCAGUUGUAUACCAGGGGUUAGCUUGAACCCACUACAAAUCAGAGACCAAAG